AUGCUUAGGGCUGUUUUGAAGAAUAAUAAGAAAAUGUGGCAGGAAUGCUUGCCUCAUAUUGAAUUUGCUUAUAAUCAUUCAUUGCAUUCUACUACUAAGAUGUGCCCUUUUGAAGUUGUGUAUGGGUUCCUACCUCGUACACCUAUUGAUUUGUUGCCUCUUUCAUCUUCGGAGAAGGUUAAUUUUGAUGCUAAACAACGUGCUGAAUUGAUUUUAAAAAUGCAUGAGUUAACUAAGGAAAACAUUGAGCGUAUGAAUGCUAAAUAUAAACUUGCUGGAGAUAAGGGUAGAAAACAUGUUGAGUUUGCACCUGGAGAUCUUGUUUGGUUACAUUUGCGUAAGGAUAGAUUUCCUUAUUUGCGCAAAUCAAAGCUAAUGCCACGUGCUGACGGACCUUUUAAGGUGUUAGAGAAAAUAAAUGAUAAUGCAUAUAAACUUGAGCUGCCUGCAGAUUUUGGGGUUAGUCCCACUUUUAACAUUGCAGAUUUGAAGCCUUAUUUGGGAGAGGAAGAUGAACUUCCGUCGAGGACGACUUCAUUUCAAGAAGGGGAGGAUGAUGAGGACAUCAAUACCAUUGUUACACCCACAGCCCCUGCUGCUAUACAUACUGGGCCAAUUACUAGAGCUCGCGCACGCCAAUUAAAUUACCAGGUACUUUCGUUUCUUGGUAAUGAUUCUAAUGUUCACGAGAAUAUGAUGCUGCCUAAAUUGGAUACAUUUGUUUUGCUUACAAAUGAAGGGCCUAGCUUGGAGAAGGAUGAACAUUGGAGCAAGACCAAGCAUGGAGAUGAUGGCAUGUGCAAGGGGAACAAUAGCGGAGUUACAAGUGAUGAUUUUCAGGACUUUGAAGCCACCAUAAUGAGUGCAUGA
This 870-nucleotide ribosomal RNA is filed under the name Triticum aestivum (bread wheat). RNAcentral describes it as "partial small subunit ribosomal RNA". Lineage: Eukaryota; Viridiplantae; Streptophyta; Magnoliopsida; Poales; Poaceae. The record is from RNAcentral.